RNAcentral lists this ribosomal RNA (580 nucleotides) under earthworm cast bacterium C29D1. RNAcentral's name for it is "bacterial SSU rRNA". It matches the Rfam family "Bacterial small subunit ribosomal RNA", at positions 85 to 661 of the family's 1533-position model. The record is from RNAcentral.
UGGGUGGCGAGUGGCGGACGGGUGAGGAAUACAUCGGAAUCUACCUUUUCGUGGGGGAUAACGUAGGGAAACUUACGCUAAUACCGCAUACGACCUUCGGGUGAAAGCAGGGGACCUUCGGGCCUUGCGCGGAUAGAUGAGCCGAUGUCGGAUUAGCUAGUUGGCGGGGUAAAGGCCCACCAAGGCGACGAUCCGUAGCUGGUCUGAGAGGAUGAUCAGCCACACUGGAACUGAGACACGGUCCAGACUCCUACGGGAGGCAGCAGUGGGGAAUAUUGGACAAUGGGCGCAAGCCUGAUCCAGCCAUACCGCGUGGGUGAAGAAGGCCUUCGGGUUGUAAAGCCCUUUUGUUGGGAAAGAAAAGCAAUCGGUUAAUACCCGGUUGUUCUGACGGUACCCAAAGAAUAAGCACCGGCUAACUUCGUGCCAGCAGCCGCGGUAAUACGAAGGGUGCAAGCGUUACUCGGAAUUACUGGGCGUAAAGCGUGCGUAGGUGGUUGUUUAAGUCUGUUGUGAAAGCCCUGGGCUCAACCUGGGAAUUGCAGUGGAUACUGGGCGACUAGAGUGUGGUAGAGGGUAG